This 497-nucleotide ribosomal RNA is filed under the name uncultured bacterium. Its description in RNAcentral is "partial 16S ribosomal RNA". It matches the Rfam family "Bacterial small subunit ribosomal RNA", at positions 28 to 507 of the family's 1533-position model. The record is from RNAcentral.
GACGAACGCUGGCGGCGUGCCUAAUACAUGCAAGUUGAGCGCUGAAGGUUGGUCCUUGUACCAACUGGAUGAGCAGCGAUCGGGUGAGUAACGCGUGGGGAAUCUGCCUUUGAGCGGGGGACAACAUUCGGAAACGAAUGCUAAUACCGCAUAAAAACUUUAAACACAAGUCUUAAGUUUGAAAGAUGCAAUUGCAUCACUCAAAGAUGAUCCCGCGUUGUAUUAGCUAGUUGGUGCGGUAAAGGCUCAACCAGGCGAUGAUACAUAGCCGACCUGAGAGGGUGGACGGGCCCCGCUGGACUUGGACACCGCCCCAGCCUCUUCGGGAGGGCGCCGGAGGGAAUCUUCGGCAAUGGGGGAAAGGCUUACCGCGCCACGCCGCGGGAGAGAAGAAGGUUUUCGGAUCGUAAAACUCUGUUGGUAGGGAAGAACGUUGGUGAGAGUAGAAAGCUCAUCAAGUGACGGUACCUACCCAGAAAGCGCCGGCUAACUACGUG